RNAcentral lists this transfer RNA (73 nucleotides) under Typhlonectes natans (Rio Cauca caecilian). RNAcentral's name for it is "tRNA-Asn". It matches the Rfam family "tRNA". Rfam says of the family: Transfer RNA (tRNA) molecules are approximately 80 nucleotides in length. RNAcentral also lists the same sequence under 1 other name. Lineage: Eukaryota; Metazoa; Chordata; Amphibia; Gymnophiona; Typhlonectidae. The record is from RNAcentral.
UGGACUGAAGUUCUCUGGGUUGAAUGUUUAGUUGUUAACUAAAAGGUCGUGGGAUAAAAGCCCAUCAGUCUAG